CAUGAGUACAAUUCAAGAGCACAAUAAUGAACAUAGGACAGCUUUUAAAUAAUUUCUUAGCUCUUUGGUUAACUAAAUCUGUGUUCAACUUGCCUAUCUCUCAUUUUAAGUGUCUUUUUUAUGAAAACCUUUUAUUUUUUCCAGAAGCAAAAAAAGCAAGUUUCAAAGUAUAAAGCUCACUGUUGGAUUUUUGUUUCUGGUACUUUUCCUUUUUCGUAGAACAUCUGUCUCACUUUGGAAGUAUAAAUCCAAAAGACCUGAACAUGAAUACUCAUGGAAUUCUGAUGAACAAGAGCUUUCUAAAAGCACGUCCCCAAAUUCUUACCUCUGCAAGGUGAAGGCCUGCUAUGUAUAAAUUCUAUUUUCAUUUCACUCACAUAUAUUCACAUUUAAGGCUGAAUGGUGAAAACAGAGUAAGACACAAUGUGGGGGUGGGGCAGAAAUGAAUUGCUGUGUAUGCUGUUGUUUUUAGUGGCUACCUCCCCUAGUCCUUAAACUGUCACUGACGAGCAGCUUUGAACAAGCUGCAAAACCCCAAAAGGUCGUAACCCAGGAGGGGAGAGACUCCAGGAACGUGCACCAGGGAAGAUGCAGAUGCAUAAACAAGCCAUAAAGUGCCCCACAUUUUCUCUUUUCCAUCAUUUCAUUGAAGAGUUGACCCCAGGCUAUUACCCUGUGAAAGUGGAAUUUUAAAAGAGCCAACCCCAAACAAACCUAUACUAAUCCCCACUUGGCUGGCUUUCCCCAUCACUAAUGAAACCCAGGAGGGGCCUGAAGUGAGGUGUGACAAUUUGAGAGGCAGAGUGAAGAUCACAGAGGUGAGAAACGUGUCACCUCUCUUUUCAUAUCCUGAGCAGCAGAUGGGCCAGACUUGGCAGGCUCAAAGUUCCUGUGGCCAGAACAGAGUUCCCACUGCCUGAGAGCUGCACGUAGAUGGACACCAGCCAUGGUGAUGCCCCCUCCUCCAGCCUUGCCCGGCUCAGCCUUUUCAAGGGUGUCUUAGCUGAGGGCAUUCAGAUCUGACAGCCACCUUGCAGGUACCAUUUCUGAGGAACGAGGCAAAUGCAUCCACAUGAGAUGAGGUGGUGAGAAUGAGAGAUGGGGUUGAAAUCUGGAGCCUCAACUGCACGUGAAACAAGAAAGUCCUGGGGCUUGGUGGGGCCACCAGGGGAAAAUAGCCUGGGUCCUUGAAACACCGUGUGGAAGAGAGUGCUUGCCAACCACAGACACAAAUUUGGACUUCUACCUGAGCAAGAAACAGCCCAUCACCUUCUGUUAUGACAGUUUAAUCUACUUUAACUAAUAAAUGAUCCUUCUGGGAUUUCUUUAUAUUGUACUUCUGGAUUGAUUCUGCUCUUUUCUGAAUACUAUGUCUUCCUUUUGCUUGGAUGUGCUUAUUGGAGUAUUGGUCAAGUAAUUCUUUAAAGAAAGGGCAUUGAGGAAAUAAACUUUCUGAAUCUUUCAUGUAAAAAAUUCCCUAUUUCACCCUCCCUUGAUUGGUUAUAGAUUUUUUCUGGAUAUAGGAUUUUAGAUUCGAGACUAUUUUCCCUCUGGUUUCUGAAGGCAUUGCUUCAUUGUCUUCUAGCAUCCAGUAUUGCCAGAGACAUUUAUGAGAGAAAAAGUGGCAGAGGACACAAACAAAAAAUGUGCAAAAGACUAAUAUCAAUGGCCAAUACACAUAUGAGAAAAUUAUAUCGCUGGUAAAUGGGAAUCAGACCUCACUGAGAACCCAUUUUUUUCUCUAUCGGAUUGAAAUGGUAAUAGAAUAAAUAUAAACAUAAAAAUGGUAAUACUCAGCUUUGGUACAGACUGGGGAAAUGAGUAUUUUUAUAUACUGUUGAUGGGUAUAAAAAUUGCAAUGAACUCUUUGGAGGACAUAUUUGUAAUAUUCAAAAAUAAAAUUUGUUACUUUUA
Equus caballus (horse) is the source of this 1914-nucleotide non-coding RNA. The record is from RefSeq and is a predicted model, not a curated record. Lineage: Eukaryota; Metazoa; Chordata; Mammalia; Perissodactyla; Equidae.